GCCUCCUUAGCUCAGUUGGUAGAGCAUUCGACUCUUAAUCGACAGGUCUGCGGUUCAAACCCGCAAGGGGGCACCA
Molecule: transfer RNA, 76 nt
Filed under: Clostridiales bacterium
Lineage: Bacteria; Bacillati; Bacillota; Clostridia; Eubacteriales
Description: tRNA-Lys
Rfam family: tRNA
About the family: Transfer RNA (tRNA) molecules are approximately 80 nucleotides in length. Their secondary structure includes four short double-helical elements and three loops (D, anti-codon, and T loops). Further hydrogen bonds mediate the characteristic L-shaped molecular structure. tRNAs have two regions of fundamental functional importance: the anti-codon, which is responsible for specific mRNA codon recognition, and the 3' end, to which the tRNAs corresponding amino acid is attached (by aminoacyl-tRNA synthetases). tRNAs cope with the degeneracy of the genetic code in two manners: having more than one tRNA (with a specific anti-codon) for a particular amino acid; and 'wobble' base-pairing, i.e. permitting non-standard base-pairing at the 3rd anti-codon position.
Source: RNAcentral